This 380-nucleotide ribosomal RNA is filed under the name uncultured eukaryote. RNAcentral describes it as "partial 18S ribosomal RNA". It matches the Rfam family "Eukaryotic small subunit ribosomal RNA", at positions 592 to 976 of the family's 1831-position model. The record is from RNAcentral.
CAAUAGCGUAUAUUAAAGUUGUUGCAGUUAAAAAGCUCGUAGUUGGAUCUGUGGUCUGCGGUGGGCUCCGGGCACUUGUUGUCUGAGUAGCUCGCCGCUGCCAUCCUUGGGUGGAACCUGUGUGGCAUUAGGUUGUCGUGCAGGGGAUGCCCAUCGUUUACUGUGAAAAAAUUAGAGUGUUCAAAGCAGGCUUAUGCCGUUGAAUAUAUUAGCAUGGAAUAAUGAGAUAGGACUUUUUCGCUAUUUUGUUGGUUUGCGCGAAGAGGUAAUGAUUAAUAGGGACAGUUGGGGGUAUUCGUAUUCCAUUGUCAGAGGUGAAAUUCUUGGAUUUUUGGAAGACGAGCUACUGCGAAAGCAUUUACCAAGGAUGUUUUCAUUAA